RNAcentral lists this ribosomal RNA (556 nucleotides) under Neofusicoccum parvum. RNAcentral describes it as "eukaryotic LSU rRNA". The stretch from base 182 to 335 matches the Rfam family "5.8S ribosomal RNA". The record is from RNAcentral. Lineage: Eukaryota; Fungi; Ascomycota; Dothideomycetes; Botryosphaeriales; Botryosphaeriaceae.
AAUUCGGGUUUGAUUCGAGCUCGGCUCGACUCUCCCACCCAAUGUGUACCUACCUCUGUUGCUUUGGCGGGCCGCGGUCCUCCGCACCGGCGCCCUUCGGGGGGCUGGCCAGCGCCCGCCAGAGGACCAUAAAACUCCAGUCAGUGAACUUCGCAGUCUGAAAAACAAGUUAAUAAACUAAAACUUUCAACAACGGAUCUCUUGGUUCUGGCAUCGAUGAAGAACGCAGCGAAAUGCGAUAAGUAAUGUGAAUUGCAGAAUUCAGUGAAUCAUCGAAUCUUUGAACGCACAUUGCGCCCCUUGGUAUUCCGAGGGGCAUGCCUGUUCGAGCGUCAUUUCAACCCUCAAGCUCUGCUUGGUAUUGGGCCCCGUCCUCCACGGACGCGCCUUAAAGACCUCGGCGGUGGCGUCUUGCCUCAAGCGUAGUAGAAAACACCUCGCUUUGGAGCGCACGGCGUCGCCCGCCGGACGAACCUUUGAAUUAUUUCUCAAGGUUGACCUCGGAUCAGGUAGGGAUACCCGCUGAACUUAAGCAUAUCAAAAGUCGGGAGGAAGA